GAUGAACGCUGACAGAAUGCUUAACACAUGCAAGUCUUUGGCGAAGCUGUGCUUGCACAGCCUAGCCAAGGCGGACGGGUGAGUAACGCGUCAGGAACUUGCCCUGCAGUCAGGGAUAACAGACGGAAACGACUGAUAAGACCUGGUAAAGUCAGGCGGACUCAUGUCCAGCCUGAUGAAAAGUGAUGCUGCAGGAGAGCCUUGCGUCCUAUUAGCUUGUUGGUGGGGUAACGGCCCACCAAGGCGAUGAUAGGUAGCCGGCCUGAGAGGGUGGACGGCCACAAGGGGACUGAGGUACGGCCCUUACUCCUACGGGAGGCAGCAGUGGGGAAUAUUGGACAAUGGGGGCAACCCUGAUCCAGCAAUUCUGUGUGCACGAUGAAGGUUUUCGGAUUGUAAAGUGCUUUCAGCAGGGAAGAAAAAAAUGACGGUACCUGCAGAAGAAGCGACGGCUAAAUACGUG
This 463-nucleotide ribosomal RNA is filed under the name uncultured bacterium. RNAcentral's name for it is "partial 16S ribosomal RNA". It matches the Rfam family "Bacterial small subunit ribosomal RNA", at positions 28 to 507 of the family's 1533-position model. The record is from RNAcentral.